AUUGAACGCUGGCGGCAGGCCUAACACAUGCAAGUCGAGCGCGAAAGUUCUUCGGAAUGAGUAAAGCGGCGGACGGGUGAGUAAUACAUGGGAAUCUGCCUGGUAGUGGGGGACAACGUUUCGAAAGGAACGCUAAUACCGCAUACGCCCUACGGAGGAAAGGGGGGGAUCUUCGGACCUCUCGCUAUCAGAUGAGUCCA
This 200-nucleotide ribosomal RNA is filed under the name uncultured bacterium. RNAcentral's name for it is "partial 16S ribosomal RNA". It matches the Rfam family "Bacterial small subunit ribosomal RNA", at positions 30 to 233 of the family's 1533-position model. The record is from RNAcentral.